RNAcentral lists this ribosomal RNA (468 nucleotides) under Triticum aestivum (bread wheat). RNAcentral's name for it is "partial small subunit ribosomal RNA". Lineage: Eukaryota; Viridiplantae; Streptophyta; Magnoliopsida; Poales; Poaceae. The record is from RNAcentral.
AUGGAAUCAUUUCCGCCAAAUGUGACGUUCAAAAGAGACUUAAUUGGACCCAGACUCCAAUCGUGCAACCUCCUGCACCAACGGUUGUCCACGGUGCAAUUGUCACAUGGGUCUGAUGUAUUCCGAUGGAACCUCCAUGGGAAUGGACAAUUCUCAGUGGAUUCUAUGUAUAGAGCGUUAAUCCAGUCUGAUGUGUCAGUUGUUAAUAACAAGAAGAUCUGGAAGAUGAAGAUACAUCUUAAGAAUAAAAUCUUUGCAUGGUAUCUUCGUCGCGGAGUCAUUCUUACUAAAGAUAACCUUAUUAAGAGGAAUUGACAUGGAAGCCCACAAUGUGUCUUUUGUCACCACGGGGAGACAAUAAAACAUUUAUUCUUCCAAUGCAAAUUGGCUCGUUCUAUAUGUCCAGUCAUCCAAAUAGCUUCUGGCUUGUAUCCUCCCUGUAGUGUUUCUAAUGUAUUUGGCAACUAG